GAGCUAAUACAUGCAUCCAAGCCCGACUUCGCAGAAGGGUUGUGUUUAUUAGAUCCAGAACCAACCCAGGCUCCGCCUGGACAUGUGGUGAUUCAUGAUAACUUGACGAAUCGUGCGGCCUUGCCGACGAUGCGUCAUUCAAGUUUCUGACCUAUCAGCUUCCGACGGUAGGGUAUUGGCCUACCGUGGCAAU
RNAcentral lists this ribosomal RNA (193 nucleotides) under Symbiodinium muscatinei (nom. inval.). RNAcentral's name for it is "Symbiodinium muscatinei partial small subunit ribosomal RNA". It matches the Rfam family "Eukaryotic small subunit ribosomal RNA", at positions 161 to 353 of the family's 1831-position model. The record is from RNAcentral. Lineage: Eukaryota; Dinophyceae; Suessiales; Symbiodiniaceae.